RNAcentral lists this ribosomal RNA (253 nucleotides) under uncultured bacterium. RNAcentral describes it as "partial 16S ribosomal RNA". It matches the Rfam family "Bacterial small subunit ribosomal RNA", at positions 524 to 776 of the family's 1533-position model. The record is from RNAcentral.
UACGUAGGGUGCAAGCGUUGUCCGGAAUUAUUGGGCGUAAAGAGCUCGUAGGCGGUUUGUCGCGUCUGGUGUGAAAAUCCAGGGCUUAACCCUGGACCUGCAUCGGGUACGGGCAGACUAGAGUGCGGUAGGGGAGAUCGGAAUUCCUGGUGUAGCAGUGAAAUGCGUAGAGAUCGGGAGGAACACCAGUGGCGAAGGCGGCUACCUGGACCAGCACUGACACUGAAGCACGAAAGCGUGGGGAGCAAACAGG